UUUGACUGGGUAGGACUCUUCCCUGCCAGCUUGUCCCUGGGGGAUGUGGGUCUGGAGAGGGCAGUGGGAUACCCUCGGAGAAUGAGGUGGGGAAGGACUUCCAGGAGGAGAAAGGGACCUAGGUCGUCCUGACUCCAACUGCCCCUUUCUACCCUGGGGGUCUGGGCCCCUGGGGCGGCAGGGGGGUUGGGUGUGAGUUGUGUGGCUCAUCCCUCUCCCUCCCACCUCCUGCCCUGGGGUAGAGUCACCAAGAGAAGGGUGGCAAGAGGCUGGGAGACUCAGGAAGAGAUGGAGACUCAGCGCGGGGGCGGGGGGAGGCGGAGGUAGAUCUGAACCCCAAGAGACAAGAGAAGGACCUGCAAGCAACUAGAGGGACAGGGGAGACGCACAGACCGACCUGUCCGCUAGGCGGGCCUGGCGGGCGGACUCAAACACCGCGACUAGGCGGGGCGGAGCAGGGGGCGGGUCCCUGCCCCUUCCCGGCCCGCCCCUCUCCGGGGCGUCACGUGGGGCGGGCGGAAGCGCCCGGCGGGGUGGGCGCGCCCCGCCUGCGGCCGCGAGUUGGCUACGGCCGCGCGAGUCAGUGGCGGCGCCGGGACGUUGGGUCCCCGGGUCUCCGCGUGGAGUCUUCGCUCAGAACAGGUUCCAUCGAUCUUGGACCAAGAUGAGGAGCCAUUCAGAGUAGCCGCUGCCUCUGGAAAGAUCCCUGGUGUCCUGGGCAGCCCAGCAGGUGAGUCAGGAGGUGGGGGUCGGGGAGCUGGGUUGGGUGUGGUGGGCUAAGUCCCAACUUUGAAACGCGGGAGACUUCAUGGAGGCCAGACCUGAGGUCCCGGUUUUCAUUUUGAAAAUAGGCAGAGAGGCAGGGAGAGGGUGAGGCUGAAGAGCCUCCCGGGAGGGCUUUGAAGGGGUGGGAUGGAUAGGGCAGGGACCAGCCGGUGGGGUGGGGGUUGUGGAUCACAUUCUCUUUUAAAUUGUACUUAUUUUUUGGAAAGUGAUAGAAAAGUUUAAGGUACAGAAAGGUAUAGUGAAGGUAACCCUCCCUCCUGUCCUCACAGCUUCCGGUUCUUGUCCUCCAAGGCAGGCGGUUUCUUGUUGACCCAUGGGGGGGGGUGGUAUUCUGCGUAUGUGUGCGUGCGUGCAUAUAUGUAUAUGUCUAUACGUACGGACGUAUAUGUACAUUUUUUAUUUAACCUAGAUGUUUGCAUAGCAAAACACUACUCUGCAUCUUAUUUUUCCAUCUAACAAUAAAUCCUUAAUAUGGUUUUAUAUGACUUUCAGAAUCUGCUUAUUGGUGAUUUUGGGGGGAUUAUGCUUUGUGCUGGUUAUAGCUUAACCCAGGAAGAACCGAUGUCUUCAUAAUGUUGAAAGCUGGUUUAUCCAAGAACAUCCAGUGUUUUUUUGUUUGUGUCUUCCUUGGAGCCUCUCAGGAGCCUUUUUAAAGAACUCAAAUAGUUCAAAAUGUAGGUAAUUGGGGCGCCUGGGUGGCUCAGCCGUUAAGCGUCUGCCUUCGGCUCAGGUCAUGAUCUCAGGGUCCUGGGAUCGAGCUCCGCGUCGGGCUCCCUGCUCCACGUGAAGCCUGCUUCUCCCUCUCCCACUCCCCCUGCUUGUGUUCCCUCUCUUGCUGUCUCUCUCUGUCAAAUAAAUAAAUAAAAUCUUAAAAAAAAAUGUAGGUGAUUGAUAAAGAUGUGGAGUGAACAGUCUCCCUCCCACCAGAGAGAGGUUUCCAGGGAAGCGGAUGGAGCUUGAGCUUCAGACUCUGUCCAAGGCCCGGGCAGGGGCCUGGGCACAGUGUGCAUGUGGUCUUGGAAAUUUGUACAAAAGCAAGAUAUUCUUUGUUUUUCCAAUUAAGUUUUUUUUUAACUGAGAUAUGAUUGACACACGACAUUGUAUUUCCAGGUGUACAACAUAAUGAUUUGGUAUUUGUGUAUAUUGUAAAAUGAUAAAGAUAUUCUGAUAUCGUUUAUUUUUUUUACAAGAGGGAGGUGGGGAAGUGGCAGAGGAAGAAGGAGGGAGAGAAUCUCAAGCAGACUCCACACCCAGUGCAGAGCCCGAUGUGGGGCUCCCUCUCACGACUCUGAGAUCGUGGCCUGAGCCAAAAUUAAGAGUUAGCCACUUAACAGACUGAGGCACCCAGGCUCCCCUCUGGUGUCUUUUUCUUAAAGAGGGAAAAUAAUCAAACGUGUCAGCAUCAGACCCCUUGAAGUCUGGCUCUAGGUCUGCUCCCUUCCGUCCCCUCAGACCUCAGUUUUCCUCCUUAGAACCAAGGUCACCUUGUUUCUGCUGUGUCUUUUCAGAGAUAUUUUAUGCAUUUACCAUCACUGCAGACAGGUUUAUCCUCCCUGGUUUGUUUUUUUUCUACAUGAAAAGCAGAAUGUUCUAUAUACUGUUCUGCACCUUUUUUUAGCCACUUAACAAUGUAUCUGGGAGGUCAUCCCAUAUCAACAUAGAACCAGUUUCCUCAUUUUUUUUUUUUUUAAGUAGGCUCCACACCCAGCAUGGAGCCCACCACAAAGCUUGAACUCAUGACCCUGAGAUAAAGACCUGAGCUUAGACCAAGACUUAGACACUUAACCCACUGAGCCACCCAGGCACCCCAAGUUUCCUCAUUUUUUUAGGGCUGCUCAGUAGACUACUAUAUGACUACACUAUAAUUUAGUUAACUGUUCCCUGUUUGAUGGGUAUUUUGGUUAUUUCCAAUCUUUUGUUGCCAGUCACCUUGGAGGACUGCAGGAUAAGUGCCUAGGGGUGGCUGGAUCAAAGGACUAGGGGUUUUCAUAGCUAUUGUGGCUUUAAUUGCCCUUCCCAGAGACACUCCCACUAGCGGGCCAGGGGAAUGCCUCACCCCCUCACCACUUAGUGUGAGGAGGUUAAGUUCGGUUUCAUAUGCUUAAGAACCAUUUAUAUUUUCCUUUCUAUGAAUUUCUCUCUGUGUAUUUUUUGCCCCUUUUCCUUUUUUUUAAAAGAUUUUAUUUAUUUAUUCGACAGAGAUAGAGGCAGCCAGUGAAAGAGGGAACACAAGCAGGGGGAGUGGGAGAGGAAGAAGCAGGCUCACAGCAGAGGAACCUGAUGUGGGGCUCGAUCACGCCCUGAGCCGAAGGCAGACGCUUAACCGCUGUGCCACCCAGGCGCCCCUGCCCCUUUUUCUGUUAGGUCAUUGACCUGUUUUUUAUUUCUAGGUGCUUUUCAGUUUUUAGGAAAAUCAGUCCUGUGUCUGGGAUAUGAGAGGCAGAUGUCCUCUGAUUGUCGUUUAUCUCUUGGCUUUGUUUCUGGUGCAUUUUUAUCACGCGAGAAUGUUUGAUUUUUUUUUAUAGUUGAAUAUUUUACUCUUUAUCUCCCUGGGUUUGUAUCAUCCAAAAGG
This 3358-nucleotide long non-coding RNA is filed under the name Ailuropoda melanoleuca (giant panda). RNAcentral's name for it is "lncRNA (ENSAMEG00000030051.1)". Lineage: Eukaryota; Metazoa; Chordata; Mammalia; Carnivora; Ursidae. The record is from RNAcentral.